Molecule: ribosomal RNA, 406 nt
Filed under: uncultured bacterium
Lineage: Bacteria
Description: partial 16S ribosomal RNA
Rfam family: Bacterial small subunit ribosomal RNA
Source: RNAcentral
AUUGAACGCUGGCGGCAGGCCUAACACAUGCAAGUCGAGCGAGCGGCGGACGGGUGUGUGAUGUCUGGGAAACUGCCUGAUGGAGGGGGAUAACUACUGGAAACAGUAGCUAAUACCGCAUACCAUCAGAUGUGCCCAGGUGGGAUUAGCUAGUAGGUGGGGUAACGGCUCACCUAGGCGACGAUCCCUAGCUGGUCUGAGAGGAUGACCAGCCACACUGGAACUGAGACACGGUCCAGACUCCUACGGGAGGCAGCAGUGGGGAAUAUUGCACAAUGGGCGCAAGCCUGAUGCAGCCAUGCCGCGUGUAUGAAGAAGGCCUUCGGGUUGUAAAGCACUUUCAGCGGGGAGGCGUUACCCGCAGAAGAAGCACCGGCUAACUCCGUGCCAGCAGCCGCGGUAAUAC